CAAAAGAGUACCUGUGAGAGAAGGAGGGGCAGUUUCCAAAAGGAAAAGUCUUCGUGGCAUGCCAAGGGGAUCCACGCACGCCAGCCAGCCAGGAGGAAGCUGCAGCCUGCAAGUCCAUGCUGAGCUUCUGCAGAACCACAGCCGACAGCCCAUAGGGAACGUUAGGCCAGGCCCCCACACCCCGAGCAGCAGCUGCUUCUGCAGCAGCCAGCAAGGUGCCGGCGAGCAGACACUGCAUUUCUAGCCCCAGUGCAAACGCUGGGUUCAUGAAAACCCCACCACUCCAAAGUAGCUCCUGAAAUGUGGUAACCGGCGAAAGCCUCUGCUGUGUGGCACAUGGAGGGAUGCCAACCCUUUUCAAUUUUAUAUGUCCCUGUUUUCCUGGUGAGCUGGCUAUGUGGAUGCACCGUUCUUAAUGGGCCCCUCACUGGCUACGAGAGUUUGGGAUUUUGAAAGGGACUCAGAGCAGAGAGUGAGCUUCGCCAAUAUCUGAAACUGCAACAUUUCUUCCAUUUGUAAAAUUAUCUAAACGCCUUCAGGGAACAUGGGAAGCAUUUCUCUUGUCAAUGAAAUCUUCUGAUGUUAAUUAAUAA
Molecule: long non-coding RNA, 593 nt
Filed under: Homo sapiens (human)
Lineage: Eukaryota; Metazoa; Chordata; Mammalia; Primates; Hominidae
Description: HSALNT0144525
Source: RNAcentral